GUGGAUGACCAGAGUAGCUGUGUAACAAACGGCACGAAGGUGACGUGGAAUUUCGAUGAAAGAUUAUUGGACAGUUGCUCUCUGGAGAUGCAACCAUCGGGCACACGCCAAGACCAAGUCAAUGUAGCGAAAGAGAUCAUGAUGACUGGGCAGCAGAACCAGUAC
This is a long non-coding RNA of Rhipicephalus sanguineus (brown dog tick), 165 nucleotides long. RefSeq lists it as uncharacterized. NCBI's taxonomy places the organism in Eukaryota, Metazoa, Arthropoda, Arachnida, Ixodida, Ixodidae. The transcript is spliced from 3 exons. The record is from RefSeq and is a predicted model, not a curated record.